This is a non-coding RNA of Triticum aestivum (bread wheat), 135 nucleotides long. The record is from Rfam. Lineage: Eukaryota; Viridiplantae; Streptophyta; Magnoliopsida; Poales; Poaceae.
UUACUACUCCCUCCGUCCGGAAAUACUUGUCAUCAAAAUGGAUAAACGGAGAUGUAUAUAGACGUAUUUAAUUUGUAGAUACAUCCGUUUUUAUCCAUUUUGAUGACAAGUAUUUUUGGACGGAAGGAAUAAUUC